RNAcentral lists this ribosomal RNA (450 nucleotides) under uncultured bacterium. Its description in RNAcentral is "partial 16S ribosomal RNA". It matches the Rfam family "Bacterial small subunit ribosomal RNA", at positions 354 to 796 of the family's 1533-position model. The record is from RNAcentral.
GUGGGGAAUCUUCCGCAAUGGACGAAAGUCUGACGGAGCAACGCCGCGUGAGUGAAGAAGGUUUUCAGAUCGUAAAGCUCUUUCGUUAGGGACGAACGUGCUCUUUGUGAAUAAUGAGGAGUAAUGACGGUACCUAAAUAAGAAGCCACGGCUAACUACGUGCCAGCAGCCGCGGUAAUACGUAGGUGGCAAGCGUUGUCCGGAAUUAUUGGGCGUAAAGCGCGCGCAGGCGGGAUAUCAAGUCUGUCUUAAAAGUGCGAGGCUCAACCUCGUGAGGGGACAGAAACUGGUAUUCUUGAGUGUCGGAGAGGAAAGUGGAAUUCCAAGGGUAGCGGUGAAAUGCGUAGAGAUUUGGAAGAACACCAGUGGCGAAGGCGACUUUCUGGACGAUGUCUGACGCUGAGGCGCGAAAGCUAGGGGAGCGAACGGGAUUAGAAACCCGAGUAGUCC